CUAUCUGCAGUCGAGCGACUGAUUAGAAGCUUGCUUCUAUGACGUUAGCGGCGGACGGGUGAGUAACACGUGGGCAACCUGCCUGUAAGACUGGGAUAACUUCGGGAAACCGAAGCUAAUACCGGAUAGGAUCUUCUCCUUCAUGGGAGGUGAUUGAAAGAUGGUUUCGGCUAUCACUUACAGAUGGGCCCGCGGUGCAUUAGCUAGUUGGUGAGGUAACGGCUCACCAAGGCGACGAUGCAUAGCCGACCUGAGAGGGUGAUCGGCCACACUGGGACUGAGACACGGCCCAGACUCCUACGGGAGGCAGCAAUAGGGAAUCUUCCGCAAUGGACGAAAGUCUGACGGAGCAACGCCGCGUGAGUGAUGAAGGCUUUCGGGUCGUAAAACUCUGUUGUUAGGGAAGAACGAGUACAAGAGUAACUGCUUGUACCUUGACGGUACCUAACCAGAAAGCCACGGCUAACUACGUGCCAGCAGCCGCGGUAAUACGUAGGUGGCAAGCGUUAUCCGGAAUUAUUGGGCGUAAAGCGCGCGCAGGCGGUUUCUUAAGUCUGAUGUGAAAGCCCACGGCUCAACCGUGGAGGGUCAUUGGAAACUGGGGAACUUGAGUGCAGAAGAGAAAAGCGGAAUUCCACGUGUAGCGGUGAAAUGCGUAGAGAUGUGGAGGAACACCAGUGGCGAAGGCGGCUUUUUGGUCUGUAACUGACGCUGAGGCGCGAAAGCGUGGGGAGCAAACAGGAUUAGAUACCCUGGUAGUCCACGCCGUAAACGAUGAGUGCUAAGUGUUAGAGGGUUUCCGCCCUUUAGUGCUGCAGCUAACGCAUUAAGCACUCCGCCUGGGGAGUACG
Molecule: ribosomal RNA, 851 nt
Filed under: uncultured bacterium
Lineage: Bacteria
Description: bacterial SSU rRNA
Rfam family: Bacterial small subunit ribosomal RNA
Source: RNAcentral